RNAcentral lists this transfer RNA (67 nucleotides) under Marmota monax (woodchuck). RNAcentral describes it as "tRNA.Ala". The record is from RNAcentral. Lineage: Eukaryota; Metazoa; Chordata; Mammalia; Rodentia; Sciuridae.
GGUUGUGGCUCAGUGGUAGAGUGCCCGCCUAGCACAUUCGAAGCCCUGGGUUCGAUCCUCAGUACCA